CUGCGAACGGCUCACUAAAAGAGUUUGAAUGUGCGUGAAGGGUGAAGGUAGAAGGAUACCUUUCGGAAACGAAAGCUAAUACUUGCGAGAAUGGCGGAGGCAACGAAGCCAGCGUGUGUCAGGCGUAAACCAACGGAGUUGGGUGAGGCAUGACACGGCUCGCGGACCGGGUCCUAGCGUCCCGGCGCUUCACAUCACAUUCUCACCUAUCAGCUUGCAGGCAGGAUAGGGCCCUGUCUGGGCGGUAACGGGUCGCGGGGAAUGAGGGUUCGAUUCCGGAGAGGUCGCCUGAGAGACGGCGCCCAUACAUACGUGUAGCAGCAGGCGUGUAAAUUAUUCCUUCCAAAAGCUGGGAGAUAGCGAGUUCAUUGCCAAGGCGAGACCUUCGGGUCACGCACUUGGACUGGGCUUUAUGUAAAGACCAUUGUGAAUCCACUGGAGGGCAAGUCUGGU
Molecule: ribosomal RNA, 453 nt
Filed under: uncultured eukaryote
Lineage: Eukaryota
Description: bacterial SSU rRNA
Rfam family: Eukaryotic small subunit ribosomal RNA
Source: RNAcentral